RNAcentral lists this long non-coding RNA (6383 nucleotides) under Sus scrofa (pig). Its description in RNAcentral is "lncRNA (ENSSSCG00030005498.1)". The record is from RNAcentral. Lineage: Eukaryota; Metazoa; Chordata; Mammalia; Artiodactyla; Suidae.
UCGAAUCAAAGCUGCAGCUGCUGGCCGACACCACAGCGACAGCUGCGCCAGAUCUGAGCUGUAUCUGUGACCUACGGCGCCGCAGAUUGCAGUAACGCCAGAUCCUGAACCCACUGAGCAAGUCCAGGGAUCAAACCUGCAUCCUCAUGGGCACUGGUCUGCUUCUUAACCCGCUGAGCCACAGCGGGAACUCCUGUGGGUGGGGGCCCGGCCCGGGCUUCGAGGGCAGAGGAAGGAUGGGGACAGCGUCACGUGCAAGUCGAUGCGAGGGCUCAGAGGAGGGGACGUCGCUCCUUUGGCUGGUGACGUUCAGGACCCUUCUUCUCUUGCCGCGGGUUCCCUGCAGGCCACAGAGGCUCACAGAACUCAGUGCCAGGGGCCCAUCCAUCAUGGGACAGCUGUGCCCAAGGGCAUCCUAUCAGCAGCUGCAGGGUCCAAGCCCUCAGACUCGUGUGCCUACAGUCAGCCUGUGACAACGGUUGGAGGUCAACCACCCUUGUCCCUUGCGUGCAUGUCCUCAGGGUCCACAUUGCCUCCUGGCACCAUCCUGCGGUAGGGCACAGGGGUUGGGUGUGGGGACUCAGGUGCCAGAUGGCGCAGGCUCAGGAGCCUGGCCUCUGCUGCAAAGCCUUUCCCACCUGGAGGAUGGAGACAGAGCAUCACCUCACGCAUGGGGCUCGGGUCUGCUCCCGCACCCUGUGCAGGGGGCGUGUUGGCUCCGCGAACAUUGGCUGCUUCUACAAGGCUCCGUUCCUCUCCCUCUCCCUGCGAGGCUGAGCUGGAGAAUCACGGGGGCCAGAGGCCACGUCGAUGGAGCAACGGAGGGCAGACAGGACGGCCUCUUCCACCUUCGACACAGCUCUGACCUUGUCACGGGGCAGGGAGGGAAUGGAGCUGGCAGCUCGCUUGGCCUUUCCUCGCUGGAUGUGCCUCCCAGGCCCCCUCUUCAGGGAUGAGGGCUCGUUCUGGCGGCGGCGGCGGCUCAAGGCCGCCCCUUGAAGGAAGCACCUCACCCAAGGCCUGGCUGCCCUCAUCGGACGCGCGACUGAAGAACCCAGCACAACCCGGAUGCGUCGACCAAGGUCUUCAUCCGAGUCCUGAGCAGCACCCCCAAAGCAUGUCGACACCCUGAGUCUGCUUUGGGGGUGCUUCUCUCCAACUCUGAAAUUCUAAAUGACCCCCUCCCCUCCCCCUCUUCUUCCCUGCGAGUGCAGAGGGAAGGUGAGACUUAGGGGCCCGGGAGUCCUGCCUCCCCAGUGGUCCUGGACCCCGACAACUACCCAACACCACUGCUGCUGGGUGACGGAGGCGAUGUCGUAAUUUGCUUUGGCCAUUUCUGGGCAUCCUGUGACUUGAGACUUUUCUAAUGGUGAGAUGGCUUUAGUUUAACCUUCAAAAGCCAAAGCCACCUAGGCAGAACCCAGGCAGGUGUUUAGGGAGUGCCUGAUGCACAGGACACCUCUGGCACUUUGAGGAAAGACUAAUGGAAGAGAAAUUCCGCCCAAGGGGUCCGGGGGUGGAAGGGGGCCCAGCCUCCCUCUCUCCAGAGGACCUCUCUUCCUGCAAGAAUGAGGCACGAAGAGCAGGUCCAGCCUGACCCUGGCCCCCCUCAGUCCAGGGGAGUGUGCAGAAGCCCUCAGACCACAGGCAGCUCGGAGAACCAGCAUCCUCCGAGGAGGGACUGGACACUGGCCGGCAUCUCUUCCAUCUGUCACAGAACAGAUUCAGGAAAGGCAGGCCCCUGAGGCUUCCAGCAGGGCGGGGACACCAGGCUGGGGCGGUGUCACCGCACCACCUGGGGAUGUAUUUCCCACUGGUACCAAGGAAUGGUUCCCUUGGGACCCAGCCACGGGCAAGUCCUGAGCAGCACUGGGCGGGGACACAGGAUGCCACCCCCAGCGAGACUGUGGUUCUCUGAAGAAGACAAGGCGGCAGUAAUCAAUCGCGAUCUUGACCUUGAAGGAGAAGCCAGGCCCUUCUCUGGGAUUUUCACCCACGCGCGAAAGGAAGCUGCUGGAGUCGGCUGGCAGGGCGAGGUCUGGGGACAGAGGAAGCAGGUCACCCCCGGGGCUGGGGGGUGGGGGUGCAGCUUCAAGCCCAGAGGGGCUGCCAGCCCGGAGCUGUCCUUGCUCCGUCAGAAGCUGAGGGCUUGUGACCCCCUGAGCUUUUCUUCUCCGCUUGCUCAACCACUAAGCAGCUGAGUGGACUCAUCUCCCCAAACCCACAUCCCCGCCCAUUCAGGGACCGUGCUGGGCAGUGUUGCUGCGAAGAUCUGUGAAAGCCACCCGCCUCCUGCUCGUAGACUCCCUCCCAGGAUUGUGGGGAAAAGAUGCCAUCUGGUAAAGGAAGCCUAUUUCCUUGGGGUCUGCAGGAAAUCCUCCCAGCCUUCCAAAGUGACACCGUCUGGACACGCUUCCCUUCAGCCAAGGACCAUGCUAGUGCAGCAGGACUACACCUACCUGGUCCAGGGCUCAGCAUGACGAAUGAUGUGCCCUUAACAGUCACCUGUGACAGGAGGCGGGACGCUGAGCUCAGGGAAGCUGGGGGAUGUGGGAUUGGGCCCGGAACGCCCCUUCUGCCAUGCAGUCCAAGGCCUCCAGCCCCGCCUGCCAGGGCAGUGGGCUGGGAAGGACGGGAGGCCAGUGGGCACCUGCAGCGUCCAGGUGUCACAAAAUCAUGGGAGGCUCUCCGGGGUUGGAGGAAGGACCCUUCCAGCUCCUACUGAGGCUCCAUCUCCCCAUCAGAUGCUUUCAGCCCCCUAAAUAAGAACUCCUAAUCAGCAACGAUGAGACAGGAAGACAGGCAGCAGGGAGAAGACACUGCCGGCAGCUCUCAGUAGAAGCCUGAGGAGCCAGGAGGGCAAAAACGCUGCUGAAAAGGGUCUCAUCUUCAUUCUUGGAGACACAGAUCACCUGGACUCGCUGAAACGCACUUUAGUCCUCCUGUACCACUCCCAGUGUCUCCACUAGGCUCGUCUGUCCCCGGCCUUCCUGCCCUUGCCCGCUCUGUCUCCUUUUUUUUAAUUUGUUUUUCCUCUUAGGGCUGCAGGUGCAGCAUAUGGAGGUUCCCAGGAUAGGGGUCCAAUCGGAGCUGCCCCUGCCAGCCUACACCACAGCCACAGCAACUCGGGAUCUGAACCACGUCUGCAACCUACACCACAGCUCAGGGCAACACCAGAUCCUUAACCCACUGAGCAAGGCCAGGGAUCGAACCCUCAACCUCAUGGACACUAGUCGGGUUCGUGACCACUAAGCCACGAUGGGAAGUCCCUCCAUCUCCUUCUGAAGUGUGUUUAAGCCCAUCUCUGAGCUGGUGGGGGCUCAGAAACACACUCUCCCUGAGAGCGGCCACAGCGCCCAAGGCCUUGACCAUGGAAGAUAGCGUUGGUCCCACCUCAACGCCAGGAAGGAGGACACAAAGGCGAGCCCAGUGCAGCCCAGCCCCUGGCCCCACCUGAGGCCCGAGUACCCCCAAAGGUCCCCAAGACUCACUUUCUGGAGUCAAGGUGCAAACUCCUGGGGGGCCAAUGAAAGAACGGCAGGUGCGCCAAGGAGAUGAAGGCGGACAGACAUUAACCCCAGAAGGCCAGCUGCUGAUCACCUCCCCCUAGGCUGUCGCAUUCCAACCCAGGGGAGUCCGGCUCCAAGCCACUGAACUCUCCCGGGGCCCUGCCAAGGGAGGGGGGUGGGGGGAGAGCCCAGGAGCCCUCGGGUGUGUUCUGCUCCCAGGUGGAGGCUGUCCUCACCCCCACCCCAACUCUCAGCAGCCCCUCCGGAGACUUGGCCUUCAAGUUCCUGGCAAAGGCCCUUUCCAGCCACAGUCAGCUGAGCGCUCAAGCCCUGCACCCCCUGGGCUCCCUCUGGCUUUCACUCUGGGCUCAAGGCUUCGGCCCCCUGGACCAUCUCGCUGUAAGGAAAGAUGACGGACGACGCAAAUUCGUAAAUGUAUUUAGUUACAGGGCACAGAGAUGAAUAUACAUUUGAAUUUCUAGUUCAAGAACCACUUUCAUGGAGAAGAAUAAAAUUAGGUUACUGAGAAACCUGGGCAGUAUGGGGGCACAGCUCCACGCUGAGGGUGGCCUUCCCCACGGGCCCUUUACAAGGAGAAGACACCAGGACUCUGGGGGUGCCCCCUUCCUGCUUUUACCCAUGGAUCUCAUCUCCAUCUCCCCACGCCCUAUGGGGAAGGUGGGGGCUACGAUCCACCUAUUUCACAGGUGAGAAAACUGAGGAUCGGGAAGCAUCAAAGUGCCUGGGAAAACACGGGAGCCAUGGCGGGCCAGAACUGCUUGGACCUGGACGCCCAAACUCAGGGCCCUCCACCUCGCCGCCCCCUGCAGAGCAGAGGACCCCCUCAGAUGCUCACACAAAGGAGUCUGCUCUCCAGGUCCAGCCUGCCUCCGGCCCCGCCCGCGUGGUUCCAGGGUGGUGAGGCCUGGCCUUGUGCCCAUCACCCCUCCCUCUCUGCUUGUGCUUGGCAUCUUCUGCCAGCGGAGGUGCCAGACUGGCUUCCCAUCAAAGGGUUUCGGAGCCGUCUAGAAUACCCCCCGGCAGAUUUAUGAUGCUUUUCCUCGUCCGCCGGCCUGAGCAAAAGCCCGAACGACCGUCCCCAGGUCGGAGAUGGAGGGAGAAAGCAACGAACACAACACUGUUCCUGAAAGUUGCCCUUUUACUGAACCAACAAGCCCUGGAUCCUCUGACACGUUCCUCUGUGGUCCCGGACUCCUGUAAGGUUUGUAAACAACCGAUGCAGCCGGCGUUUUCGGAAGUGGUUCAGGGGGUUAACUGAGCCUUUGGAUGCUCAAGGCUCGCCCUUUUUGCUUUCCCACCAUGCUGCCUGGCUGCUGCAUUUCUCCCCAUCAUUAUCAACACCAACGGCCUCACCAAGGUGGUCUCCGGGGUGGGACGGGAAGGGUAGAUGUCACAAUUCUCAAGGGAACCCGUGGUCCAGCAGAGGAGACAAAAGUCUGCCCCCCCCCACCCCGCCCCCGUCCCAAUCUGGGACAACUCUAAAGGGCCACCCCAGAUCCCGGGGGUCAGCUGGGGCCUUUGCUGUGACUGCUCUAUGGCCCAGCUUGUCCCUCUGCCCCAUCAGUUUUCUUUCCUGCCCCCAUCACUGAAGGACCAAAGCCAGAGGCACAGAAUCGUGGGCUAAGAAUCAUUUGUGGGCGAAGGUUCCUUUGGAAAGGCAGAUCACCACUGAACAAGGAAUAGAAGCAGGUGUGUCCGUUUGACUUUAAGUCCUAUUUUAUUAUGGUUGUAAACGCAGUGCCCAGGUGCCAAGCCUUCAGAACCGUGCUCUGAACCCUCCCUGAAAACUGCGCCUCCCCCCACCUAGAGAAGGAGGGCAUGGGUGGAGAGCGGACGGCGGUACCAGCCUGGAGCCUGCAUCUGUGUGGAAAGGGCUCCACCAUCGCCCCCCACUGCCCACAGCCUUGAGUCUGAGCCAGCGAAAGUCACAGCUGCUUUGAAAUCGUUUUCUGAUCUGACCGAGGGGCAGGCGCCCCUGCCGAGCGCCACGCAGGCCAGGCAGGUGGGGCUGGGCUUCCCAGAACCUUUCUCACCUGUGCCACGAACACCCACCUGCCAGAGAGGGCUCUUUCCUUCCCAGCAUUCCUCCAGGAGCAAACCCGAGUGCUCCUGCCUGCUUUGCCACUGGCCAUCAUGCGACCUCUCGAGGCUGCCUCCGCUGUGCUCCACAGCGAGCCGCCAGCCCUCUGCUCCAGGGGCCACCACGCACGCCCCAGGCCCCUUCCGCACCUGCUAGGGAAGCCUCCAGCUGGGUUCCUCCCUUAACCCAGUCUGGCACUGCUGCCCAGCCUUUCCCUCUGUCUUUGAGCCGAGGAUAUUCUGUUACCUGUUCUCCAAGGUCAUUUUGGAAAUCUCAGAAUCCACUUAACAAGCAAAGAAGAGUUGUGAAAAGCUACCUCUCUGUUCUCCUGGCACCGGCCCCUCUCCAAGGGCAAGACAGCUCCUCUGAGGCGCUCCCAUCCUCAGUGAUGAAAGAGGGGGCUGUCAAACACCAGCCUUGGGAGCCCGAGCUCCAUGCUCCUUGCUCACUUCUCUCACCCUCGCCUCCAGCCCCUCGAAGCCCACCCUCCUUGGAAUGAAGCAGUUUCCACACAAUCGUGGUGCCUGAGCCAGAUGUGACUUUAGAUUNUUUUGUCUUUUUGCCUUUUGUAGGGCCGCUCCCACGGCAUAUGGAGGUUCUCAGGCUAGGGGGUCUAAUCGGAGCUAUAGCCGCCGGCCUACGCCACAGCCACAGCAACUCGGGAUCCAAGCCGUGUUUGCGACCUACACCACAGCUCAUGGCAACGCCGGAUCCUUAACCCACGGAGCAAGGCCAGGGAUCGAACCCACAACCUCAUGGUUCCCAGUCGGAUU